Molecule: transfer RNA, 72 nt
Filed under: Ovis aries (sheep)
Lineage: Eukaryota; Metazoa; Chordata; Mammalia; Artiodactyla; Bovidae
Rfam family: tRNA
About the family: Transfer RNA (tRNA) molecules are approximately 80 nucleotides in length. Their secondary structure includes four short double-helical elements and three loops (D, anti-codon, and T loops).
Source: Rfam by way of RNAcentral
UCCCUUGUGGCUCAGCUGGUAAAGAAUCCGGCUGCAAUGCGGGAGACCUGGGUUCAAUCCCCAGGUUGGGAA